GGCCCGCCCGGCCGGGGGAGGAGCCGCCGCGGCGGGAGCGGGGCCGGCGGGUUGCCAUGGCGAUGAGCUGCGGGAAGGCCGGGCUGGGCUGCGGCUGAGGGAAACUUGGGUGGAGGGAAGAAUGAAGAAGUGCCAGAGACUUGAUGAGAAGCUUUCGGCAGACCUUGAGGGCUGUACACAGUGCUGGUCAGCAGAAUUGAUUAUACCUGCAAUAUAAACACACAAACUUCUUUUGACACUUGUUUCUCCUCACCGCCCCUUCUGUAAACUAAAAAAAUCCAAUCUAAGCACAGACCUUUCCAAGUGUAAAUGCUGAUGUUUCAUAAUGUAUACAUCUGUCGUGAAGAAUAACCUACCUUCUGCCGUUCAGCUUGUAUGUAAUUGCAUUUAGCGUCGGGUAGAGAUGUAUUCCGCGUUUUUCCUAGUGAUACAAAGCCUUCAGAAUUGAUUUUAGUGAUGUCUAUGAUAAAAUACUUAGAUUGUCAAAACAUCAUCAAAAUCACUAUGCAUUUUUUUUAUGCAGACCUGUCUUUUUAUUUUUUUCAGAUCUAGAUUAUUCUCCCCAGAUUUAGACUUUAAAGAUUGAGGUCUGGAAGAGAACCAAACUCAUUCAGAAGCACAAAACUGGUUGUAAACAAUGAGGAGGAUUCUAGACUGGUUGAGGCACUAGCUUUUUGGGCUUUUGAAGGUGCCAUUUAUAUAGUAAGGAAGUUUGUAGGGCUCUUACUUCUCUUUUGUUAUCAUGGUUAACCAUUUCAAGCUUAAAAGUUCCUAACAGAAAAAUAGUUCAAAGUUUGAAAUUGCAGGAGGUCAUAAACUAAAGAAAUAACUAUUAAAUAUCCCGUUUGCACACUGGGAGCACAAAAUGGAAACAAUAUGAAAACCCAAACAAUUUGUGUAAUAUUCAAUUACAGUUGGCUUUAAAUAAAUAUUAAAAAUA
Tyto alba (common barn owl) is the source of this 940-nucleotide long non-coding RNA. RefSeq lists it as uncharacterized. NCBI's taxonomy places the organism in Eukaryota, Metazoa, Chordata, Aves, Strigiformes, Tytonidae. The record is from RefSeq and is a predicted model, not a curated record. The transcript has 2 exons.